Molecule: long non-coding RNA, 412 nt
Filed under: Homo sapiens (human)
Lineage: Eukaryota; Metazoa; Chordata; Mammalia; Primates; Hominidae
Description: novel transcript
Source: RNAcentral
GACAGCGAUUCGACUGCACGGUUCACAGGGAGGUUUGUCAGUCUCGUCGAGGGCUUUCCAACAAGCAACUUGGAAAUGAGCGACGGUUGAAGCUCUUCAACAAAUCUCUCCUCAGCCAAAUACAUCUGGUACCUUAAUGGAGGCGACAGCACAGGCUUCUGAUUAGUUCACACAUCACUCACCAAUUAGAAUAGAAGUGCAUUUACAGUCUGCAAACAAGGAUUCAUCAUGGGAAACUGUUUUUAAAGUCAGAAGAUCUUGAUUCAAGUCCAAUUCUGCCCGUUACCAUGUGACCUUGAGUGAAUCUUGUAAUCUCUCUUUUAAAAAUACAGACAGCAACACUUGCCCCCUCCAUUUACGGCAUUACAAGCAUCUGAUGGGAUCACACAUUUGAAAAUAUAUUGUAAAACAU